Molecule: ribosomal RNA, 320 nt
Filed under: uncultured bacterium
Lineage: Bacteria
Description: bacterial SSU rRNA
Rfam family: Bacterial small subunit ribosomal RNA
Source: RNAcentral
UCUAAUACCUUAUAGUAUCCAUCUCGUAUGGAUUAAAGCUUUAUGCGCUUUGGAGGGGCCUGCGUUUGAUUAGCUAGUUGGUGAGGUAAAAAGGCACACCAAGGCGACGAUCAAUAGCUGGUUUGAGAGGAUGACCAGCCACACUGGGACUGAGAUACGGCCCAGACUCCUACGGGAGGCAGCAGUAAGGAAUCUUCCACAAUGGGGGCAACCCUGAUGGAGCAAUACCGCGUGCAGGAUGAAGCGUUUCGGCGUGUAAACUGCUUUUAUCACCGAAGAUUAUGACUGUAGGUGAAGAAUAAGGACCGGCUAACUACGUG